RNAcentral lists this ribosomal RNA (315 nucleotides) under Triticum aestivum (bread wheat). RNAcentral describes it as "partial small subunit ribosomal RNA". The record is from RNAcentral. Lineage: Eukaryota; Viridiplantae; Streptophyta; Magnoliopsida; Poales; Poaceae.
AUGACUUAUGCGUUCUGUUAUCAUUUCCAACUAGAGGAUCCCUUAAUCCAAUUAAAGGAGGAUUAUAAAUGGAUAGAUGUCUUCGAUUUCCACUGGAGAUUGGGAAUCGAUGGACUUUCAUUAGGAUCUAUUUUAUUGACAGGAUUUAUCACUACUUUAGCUACUUUAGCAGCUUGGCCAAUUACACGGAAUUCACGAUUAUUCUAUUUCCUGAUGCUCGCAAUGUAUAGUGGCGGUUCCAUUUUUUUCUUAAUCGGAGUUCUGGGUAUGGGCUUAUAUGGUUCCAAUGAACCAGGAUUAGAUUUGGAAUAUUAA